Molecule: small RNA, 270 nt
Filed under: Erinaceus europaeus (western European hedgehog)
Lineage: Eukaryota; Metazoa; Chordata; Mammalia; Eulipotyphla; Erinaceidae
Description: 7SK RNA (ENSEEUG00000023310.1)
Rfam family: 7SK RNA (bases 1-198)
About the family: 7SK was discovered as an abundant small nuclear RNA in the mid-70s but a possible function has only recently been suggested. Two independent studies have found that 7SK RNA binds the CDK9/cyclin T complex (known as elongation factor P-TEFb).
Source: RNAcentral
GGACAGGUGUCCCCUUCCUCCUUCACUGCUCCAGGUGUGUCCUUCCCAAAACUGUGCACUCAGUUGAAGAGGGCAAAAUUCCCCAAACAGAGAUGGACUGGUCUUGUGGAGGGCACAAGAGUAGCUGUGCCCCCUGCUAGAGCCUCCAAACAGGCUCUCCAGAUUGCCCCAGGGCGAAGGCCCAGAAGCAGUAACACUGGGAUUGUUAUGAAGAUCAUACUGUACGAUGUGGCUGACAAGGUGGCUUACCCAAAUAGUACAUCCUGCUUU